This 186-nucleotide ribosomal RNA is filed under the name Pantoea ananatis. RNAcentral describes it as "partial 16S ribosomal RNA". It matches the Rfam family "Bacterial small subunit ribosomal RNA", at positions 1 to 178 of the family's 1533-position model. RNAcentral also lists the same sequence under 1 other name. The record is from RNAcentral. Lineage: Bacteria; Pseudomonadati; Pseudomonadota; Gammaproteobacteria; Enterobacterales; Erwiniaceae.
UUAAAUUGAAGAGUUUGAUCAUGGCUCAGAUUGAACGCUGGCGGCAGGCCUAACACAUGCAAGUCGGACGGUAGCACAGAGGAGCUUGCUCCUCGGGUGACGAGUGGCGGACGGGUGAGUAAUGUCUGGGGAUCUGCCCGAUAGAGGGGGAUAACCACUGGAAACGGUGGCUAAUACCGCAUAACG